UUUUAUGAGAGUUUGAUCCUGGCUCAGGACGAACGCUGGCGGCGUGCCUAAUACAUGCAAGUCGAACGCUUCUUUUUCCACCGGAGCUUGCUCCACCGGAAAAAGAGGAGUGGCGAACGGGUGAGUAACACGUGGGUAACCUGCCCAUCAGAAGGGGAUAACACUUGGAAACAGGUGCUAAUACCGUAUAACAAUCAAAACCGCAUGGUUUUGAUUUGAAAGGCGCUUUCGGGUGUCGCUGAUGGAUGGACCCGCGGUGCAUUAGCUAGUUGGUGAGGUAACGGCUCACCAAGGCCACGAUGCAUAGCCGACCUGAGAGGGUGAUCGGCCACAUUGGGACUGAGACACGGCCCAAACUCCUACGGGAGGCAGCAGUAGGGAAUCUUCGGCAAUGGACGAAAGUCUGACCGAGCAACGCCGCGUGAGUGAAGAAGGUUUUCGGAUCGUAAAACUCUGUUGUUAGAGAAGAACAAGGAUGAGAGUAACUGUUCAUCCCUUGACGGUAUCUAACCAGAAAGCCACGGCUAACUACGUGCCAGCAGCCGCGGUAAUACGUAGGUGGCAAGCGUUGUCCGGAUUUAUUGGGCGUAAAGCGAGCGCAGGCGGUUUCUUAAGUCUGAUGUGAAAGCCCCCGGCUCAACCGGGGAGGGUCAUUGGAAACUGGGAGACUUGAGUGCAGAAGAGGAGAGUGGAAUUCCAUGUGUAGCGGUGAAAUGCGUAGAUAUAUGGAGGAACACCAGUGGCGAAGGCGGCUCUCUGGUCUGUAACUGACGCUGAGGCUCGAAAGCGUGGGGAGCAAACAGGAUUAGAUACCCUGGUAGUCCACGCCGUAAACGAUGAGUGCUAAGUGUUGGAGGGUUUCCGCCCUUCAGUGCUGCAGCUAACGCAUUAAGCACUCCGCCUGGGGAGUACGACCGCAAGGUUGAAACUCAAAGGAAUUGACGGGGGCCCGCACAAGCGGUGGAGCAUGUGGUUUAAUUCGAAGCAACGCGAAGAACCUUACCAGGUCUUGACAUCCUUUGACCACUCUAGAGAUAGAGCUUCCCCUUCGGGGGCAAAGUGACAGGUGGUGCAUGGUUGUCGUCAGCUCGUGUCGUGAGAUGUUGGGUUAAGUCCCGCAACGAGCGCAACCCUUAUUGUUAGUUGCCAUCAUUCAGUUGGGCACUCUAGCAAGACUGCCGGUGACAAACCGGAGGAAGGUGGGGAUGACGUCAAAUCAUCAUGCCCCU
Molecule: ribosomal RNA, 1229 nt
Filed under: Enterococcus faecium
Lineage: Bacteria; Bacillati; Bacillota; Bacilli; Lactobacillales; Enterococcaceae
Description: bacterial SSU rRNA
Rfam family: Bacterial small subunit ribosomal RNA
Source: RNAcentral